GACGAACGCUGGCGGCGUGCUUAACACAUGCAAGUCGAACGGUGAUGCUCCAGCUUGCUGGAGUGGAUCAGUGGCGAACGGGUGAGUAACACGUGAGCAACCUGCCCCAGACUCUGGAAUAAGCGCUGGAAACGGCGUCUAAUACUGGAUACGAAACUGGCCCGCAUGGGCAUGGUUUGGAAAGUUUUUCGGUUUGGGAUGGGCUCGCGGCCUAUCAGUUUGUUGGUGAGGUAAUGGCUCACCAAGGCGACGACGGGUAGCCGGCCUGAGAGGGCGACCGGCCACACUGGGACUGAGACACGGCCCAGACUCCUACGGGAGGCAGCAGUGGGGAAUAUUGCACAAUGGGCGCAAGCCUGAUGCAGCGACGCCGCGUGAGGGAUGACGGCCUUCGGGUUGUAAACCUCUUUCAGCAGGGAAGAAGCGAAAGUGACGGUACCUGCAGAAGAAGCACCGGCUAACUACGUG
This 468-nucleotide ribosomal RNA is filed under the name uncultured bacterium. Its description in RNAcentral is "partial 16S ribosomal RNA". It matches the Rfam family "Bacterial small subunit ribosomal RNA", at positions 28 to 507 of the family's 1533-position model. The record is from RNAcentral.